UUCACUCAUCUCCAUCGUUCUACAGAGAGAGAGAGAGAAGGAGAGACAUAAGCUUUGUUCUUCUUCUCUAGUGGCGAUUUUGUGUCUGUGUUGAAGUGUAGAGGGUCUAAUUUUUUGAAAAAAGGUACAGAUAUGAGUUUUUCGUAAUCAAAUUCGAGUUCAAAAUCAGUUUGGAGAAGAAGAGAAUCAUAUCAAUGUAGAGGUUUACCGAAGAUAUGUCAAUGUGGAAGCUCUAUUGCAAUGCAUAUAUCGAGAACUGAAAAUAACCCAAGGAGGGUUUUCUUCCGAUGUUCUUCGCAGGAGGGUAAUUGUGCACAUCUAUUCAAAUGGGUUGACGAGGCUUUGGUCGAACAAAUGGAAGACUAUGGAGAGGAGCUAAGCAAAGUCAAAGUCUAGUUCGGAAAAAAAGAGAAGACUGAUAUGGAAAAGAGAGAGGAGAAACAAGAUUAUCGAGAGGAGUUGCAAAAGCUUAUAGUUCAGAUGGAAAAAAUGAAGUUUGAGAUAGAAGAGUUAAGAGGUUUCAAAAGUAAUGUAGUUGUAGUUGUCGGAGUUGUCGGGGUUAUAGCUUUGGCAAUCAUAUACUACUAUGGAUUACUACUUAUUUGAUGUAUUUUGGACGUAUGUAUCAAUUGGAGAAGACAAUUAUGAUGUAUUAGUUAGAGAAGACAAGAUCAUUAUAUAUGUUAUUUGUGAAGAAAACAUUGGAUGAA
Molecule: long non-coding RNA, 710 nt
Organism: Tarenaya hassleriana
Lineage: Eukaryota; Viridiplantae; Streptophyta; Magnoliopsida; Brassicales; Cleomaceae
Exons: 3
Source: RefSeq, a predicted model, not a curated record